UGCCCAGUAGCUCAGCGGUAGAGCAGUUGACUGUUAAUCAAUUGGCCGCAGGUUCGAUCCCUGCCUGGGCAGCCA
Molecule: transfer RNA, 75 nt
Filed under: Puniceicoccales bacterium
Lineage: Bacteria; Pseudomonadati; Verrucomicrobiota; Opitutia; Puniceicoccales
Description: tRNA-Asn
Rfam family: tRNA
About the family: Transfer RNA (tRNA) molecules are approximately 80 nucleotides in length.
Source: RNAcentral